RNAcentral lists this ribosomal RNA (503 nucleotides) under uncultured soil bacterium. RNAcentral's name for it is "bacterial SSU rRNA". It matches the Rfam family "Bacterial small subunit ribosomal RNA", at positions 26 to 518 of the family's 1533-position model. The record is from RNAcentral.
AGAUUGAACGCUGGCGGCAUGCCUUACACAUGCAAGUCGAGCGGCAGCGCGGGGGCAACCCUGGCGGCGAGCGGCGAACGGGUGAGUAAUACAUCGGAACGUGUCCAGUAGCGGGGGGAUAACCUCUCGAAAGAGAGGCUAAUACCGCAUACGACCUACGGGUGAAAGCGGGGGACCGCAAGGCCUCGCACUAUUGGAGCGGCCGAUGUCGGAUUAGCUAGUUGGCGGGGUAAAAGCCCACCAAGGCGACGAUCCGUAGCUGGUCUGAGAGGACGACCAGCCACACUGGAACUGAGACACGGUCCAGACUCCUACGGGAGGCAGCAGUGGGAAUUUGGACAAUGGGGGCAACCCUGAUCCAGCCAUGCCGCGUGAGUGAAGAAGGCCUGGUUGUAAGCUACUUCGGUCGGGACGAAACGGUACCGUACGACGAACAACCACGAACUAAUAGACGGUACUCGUACAGAAGAAGACACCGGCUAACUACGUAGCCAGCAGCCGAC